RNAcentral lists this ribosomal RNA (633 nucleotides) under uncultured bacterium. RNAcentral describes it as "bacterial SSU rRNA". It matches the Rfam family "Bacterial small subunit ribosomal RNA", at positions 63 to 703 of the family's 1533-position model. The record is from RNAcentral.
CGAGCGAGUUAUUGCUUUCGGGUAAUAACUCAGCGGCGAACGGGUGAGUAACACGUAGGUGAUCUACCCUUCAGAGGGGGACAACCUUGGGAAACCGAGGCUAAUCCCACAUGAGUUCGUUGGCAGGGAUGCUGAUGAAGAAAAGGUUACUGAGAAGUAAUCGCUGAAGGAUGAGCCUGCGGCCCAUCAGGUAGUUGGCGAGGUAAAGGCUCACCAAGCCGAAGACGGGUAACCGGUCUGAGAGGAUGUACGGUCACACUGGGACUGAGACACGGCCCAGACUCCUACGGGAGGCAGCAGCAGGGAAUUUUGGGCAAUGGGCGAAAGCCUGACCCAGCGACGCCGCGUGGAGGAAGAAAUCCUUCGGGAUGUAAACUCCUGGACUGGGGGACGAGAGAGGACGGUACUCCAGUAGAAAGGGACGGCUAACUACGUGCCAGCAGCCGCGGUAAAACGUAGGUCCCGAGCGUUGUUCGGAUUCACUGGGUGUAAAGGGCGCGUAGGCGGUUGUUUGUGUCUCAUGUGAAAACUCAGGGCUCAACUCUGAGAUUGCGUGGGAAACUAAGCAGCUAAGAGGACGGUAGAGGGGAGUGGAAUUCCCGGUGUAGCGGUAAAAUGCGUAGAUAUCGGGAA